Molecule: ribosomal RNA, 500 nt
Filed under: uncultured bacterium
Lineage: Bacteria
Description: bacterial SSU rRNA
Rfam family: Bacterial small subunit ribosomal RNA
Source: RNAcentral
CACUCCGCCUGGUGAGUACGGACCGCAAGGUUGAAACUCAAAGGAAUUGACGGGGACCCGCACAAGCGGGGGAGCAUGUGGUUUAAUUCGAUGCAACGCGAAAAACCUUACCAAAUCUUGACAUCCUCUGACCCCUCUAGAGAUAGAGUUUUCCCCUUCGGAGGACAAAGUGACAGGUGGUGCAUGGGUGUCGUCAUCUCGUGUCGAGAUAUGUUGGGUUAAGUCCCGCAACGAGCGCAACCCUUAAGCUUAUUUGCCAUCAUUAAGUUGGGCACUCUAAGUUGACUGCCGGUGACAAACCGGAGGAAGGUGGGGAUGACGUCAAAUCAUCAUGCCCCUUAUGAUUUGGGCUACACACGUGCUACAAUGGACAAUACAAAGGGCAGCGAAACCGCGAGGUCAAGCAAAUCCCAUAAAGUUGUUCUCAGUUCGGAUUGUAGUCUGCAACUCGACUAUAUGAAGCUGGAAUCGCUAGUAAUCGUAGAUCAGCAUGCUACGGU